CCUACGGGUGGCUGCAGUGGGGAAUUUUGGACAAUGGGCGCAAGCCUGAUCCAGCAAUGCCGCGUGCAGGAAGAAGGCCUUCGGGUUGUAAACUGCUUUUGUCAGGGAAGAAAUCCUCUGGGUUAAUACCUCGGGGGGAUGACGGUACCUGAAGAAUAAGCACCGGCUAACUACGUGCCAGCAGCCGCGGUAAUACGUAGGGUGCGAGCGUUAAUCGGAAUUACUGGGCGUAAAGCGUGCGCAGGCGGUUGUGCAAGACAGGUGUGAAAUCCCCGGGCUUAACCUGGGAACUGCACUUGUGACUGCACGGCUAGAGUACGGUAGAGGGGGAUGGAAUUCCGCGUGUAGCAGUGAAAUGCGUAGAUAUGCGGAGGAACACCGAUGGCGAAGGCAAUCCCCUGGACCUGUACUGACGCUCAUGCACGAAAGCGUGGGGAGCAAACAGGAUUAGAUACCCCAGUAGUC
Molecule: ribosomal RNA, 465 nt
Filed under: uncultured Aquabacterium sp.
Lineage: Bacteria; Pseudomonadati; Pseudomonadota; Betaproteobacteria; Burkholderiales; Sphaerotilaceae
Description: bacterial SSU rRNA
Rfam family: Bacterial small subunit ribosomal RNA
Source: RNAcentral